AACGUACGCUGGCGGCACGCCUAACACAUGCAAGUCGAACGAAGUAGCAAUACUUAGUGGCAGACGGGUGAGUAACAUGUGGGUAUCUGCCCUUUGGCCUGGAAUAACACGAGGAAACUUGUGCUAAUACCGGAUAAGUCUUUACGGAGAAAGCUUUAUGCACCAUUGGAUGAGCCUGCACUUGAUUAGUUUGUUGGUGGGGUAAUGGCCUACCAAGACUGUGAUCAAUAGCUGAUUUGAGAGGAUGAUCAGCCACAUUGGGACUGAGACACGGCCCAAACUCCUACGGGAGGCAGCAGUGGGGAAUCUUGCACAAUGGAGGAAACUCUGAUGCAGCGAUGCCGCGUGAGUGAAGAAGGCCUUUGGGUUGUAAAGCUCUUUCGUCGGGGAAGAAAAUGACUGUACCCGAAUAAGAAGGUCCGGCUAACUUCGUGCCAGCAGCCGCGGUAAUACGAAGGGACCUAGCGUAGUUCGGAAUUACUGGGCUUAAAGAGUUCGUAGGUGGUUGAAAAAGUUAGUGGUGAAAUCCCAGAGCUUAACUCUGGAACUGCCAUUAAAACUUUUCAGCUAGAGUAUGAUAGAGGAAAGCAGAAUUUCUAGUGUAGAGGUGAAAUUCGUAGAUAUUAGAAAGAAUACCAAUUGCGAAGGCAGCUUUCUGGAUCAUUACUGACACUGAGGAACGAAAGCAUGGGUAGCGAAGAGGAUUAGAUACCCUCGUAGUCCAUGCCGUAAACGAUGUGUGUUAGACGUUGGAAAUUUAUUUUCAGUGUCGCAGGGAAACCGAUAAACACACCGCCUGGGGAGUACGACCGCAAGGUUAAAACUCAAAUGAAUUGACGGGGACCCGCACAAGUAGUGGAGCAUGUGGUUUAAUUCGAGGAUACGCGCAGAACCUUACCAACACUUGACAUGUUCGUCGCGACUCUAAGAGAUUAGAGUUUUCGGUUCGGCCGGACGAAACACAGGUGCUGCAUGGCUGUCGUCAGCUCGUGUCGUGAGAUGUUGGGUUAAGUCCCGCAACGAGCGCAACCCUCACUUUUAGUUGCCAUCAUUAAGUUGGGCACUCUGAAAGAACUGCCAGUGAUAAGCUGGAGGAAGGUGGGGAUGACGUCAAGUCCUCAUGGCCCUUACGUGUUGGGCUACACACGUGCUACAAUGGUAUCUACAACAGGAAGCAAGACUGCGAAGUUAAGCAAAUCCCUAAAAGAUACCUCAGUUCGGAUUGCACUCUGCAACUCGAGUGCAUGAAGCUGGAAUUACUAGUAAUCGUGGAUCAGCGUGCCACGGUGAAUGCGUUCCCGGGUCU
RNAcentral lists this ribosomal RNA (1306 nucleotides) under uncultured bacterium. Its description in RNAcentral is "bacterial SSU rRNA". It matches the Rfam family "Bacterial small subunit ribosomal RNA", at positions 28 to 1381 of the family's 1533-position model. The record is from RNAcentral.